RNAcentral lists this ribosomal RNA (189 nucleotides) under uncultured bacterium. RNAcentral describes it as "partial 16S ribosomal RNA". It matches the Rfam family "Bacterial small subunit ribosomal RNA", at positions 338 to 524 of the family's 1533-position model. The record is from RNAcentral.
CCUACGGGAGGCAGCAGUGAGGAAUAUUGGUCGAUGGACGGAAGUCUGAACCAGCCAAGUCGCGUGAAGGAUGAAGGUUCUAUGGAUUGUAAACUUCUUUUGUCUGAGGGUAAAAAAGGCCACGUGUGGCUUCUUGCAAGUAUCAGACGAAUAAGCAUCGGCUAACUCCGUGCCAGCAGCCGCGGUAAU